CACCUAGUUGUGUCAUUUGCAUACAAAGCCCACCAAGCACCAUCCUGUAAAGUCAUACGCCUGAAUCUUCUUGAUUUGCCAGGAUGACCAGUCAAAAGAAAAGAAAAGAUAUGGAACUUGCUUGUACUUGGAGUUUAUUGUCUAAACAGAAAGAUGCUUCUAAAUCUCAGACUUCAUUGUCAUGGAAGGAGCUCACAGACUACCGGGAAAUAUUUAGAAAAC
Molecule: long non-coding RNA, 222 nt
Organism: Suricata suricatta (meerkat)
Lineage: Eukaryota; Metazoa; Chordata; Mammalia; Carnivora; Herpestidae
Exons: 4
Source: RefSeq, a predicted model, not a curated record